This 254-nucleotide ribosomal RNA is filed under the name uncultured bacterium. Its description in RNAcentral is "partial 16S ribosomal RNA". It matches the Rfam family "Bacterial small subunit ribosomal RNA", at positions 524 to 776 of the family's 1533-position model. The record is from RNAcentral.
UACGUAGGGGGGCUAGCGUUGUCCGGAUUUAUUGGGCGUAAAGAGCGUGUAGGCGGCCAAGCAGGUCAGCUGUGAAAACUCGAGGCUCAACCUCGAGACGUCGGUUGAAACCGCUUGGCUAGAGUCCGGAAGAGGAGAGUGGAAUCCCGGUGUAGCGGUGAAAUGCGCAGAUAUCGGGGAAGAACACCCGUGGCGAAGGCGGCUCUCUGGGACGGUACUGACGCUGAGACGCGAAAGCGUGGGGAGCGAACAGG